AUUGAACGCUGGCGGCAGGCCUAACACAUGCAAGUCGAACGGUAACAGGAAGAAGCUUGCUUCUUUGCUGACGAGUGGCGGACGGGUGAGUAAUGUCUGGGAAACUGCCUGAUGGAGGGGGAUAACUACUGGAAACGGUAGCUAAUACCGCAUAACGUCGCAAGACCAAAGAGGGGGACCUUCGGGCCUCUUGCCAUCGGAUGUGCCCAGAUGGGAUUAGCUAGUAGGUGGGGUAACGGCUCACCUAGGCGACGAUCCCUAGCUGGUCUGAGAGGAUGACCGGCAAACCUGGAACUGGGAAACGGUCCAACUCCCAAGGGAGGGCGGCGGUGGGAAAUAUGGCCCAAGGGGGGAAAGCCUAAUGAGGCCAGGCCGGGGGUAUGAAGAAGGCCUUCGGGUGGUAAGUACUUUCAGCGGGGAGGAAGGGAGUAAAGUUAAUACCUUUGCUCAUUGACGUUACCCGCAGAAGAAGCACCGGCUAACUCCGUG
This 489-nucleotide ribosomal RNA is filed under the name uncultured bacterium. RNAcentral describes it as "partial 16S ribosomal RNA". It matches the Rfam family "Bacterial small subunit ribosomal RNA", at positions 29 to 507 of the family's 1533-position model. The record is from RNAcentral.